GUGGGGGAUAUUGCACAAUGGGGGAAACCCUGAUGCAGCGACGCCGCGUGAAGGAAGACGUACUUCGGUAUGUAAACUUCUAUCAGCAGGGAAGAAGAUGACGGUACCUGACUAAGAAGCCCCGGCUAACUACGUGCCAGCAGCCGCGGUAAUACGUAGGGGGCAAGCGUUAUCCGGAUUUACUGGGUGUAAAGGGAGCGUAGACGGUGAAGCAAGUCUGAUGUGAAAACCCGGGGCUCAACUCCGGGAUUGCAUUGGAAACUGUUUUACUUGAGUGCUGGAGGGGCAAGCGGAAUUCCUGGUGUAGCGGUGAAAUGCGUAGAUAUCAGGAAGAACACCGGUGGCGAAGGCGGCUUGCUGGACAGUAACUGACGUUGAGGCUCGAAAGCGUGGGGAGCAAACAGGAUUAGAAACCCUUGUAGUCCU
RNAcentral lists this ribosomal RNA (426 nucleotides) under uncultured bacterium. Its description in RNAcentral is "partial 16S ribosomal RNA". It matches the Rfam family "Bacterial small subunit ribosomal RNA", at positions 354 to 797 of the family's 1533-position model. The record is from RNAcentral.